CGAAGCCGCGAGGCAGAGCAAAUCCCCAAAAGCCGUCUCAGUUCGGACUGCAGUCUGCAACUCGACUGCACGAAGUCGGAAUUGCUAGUAAUCGCGGAUCAGCAUGCCGCGGUGAAUACGUUCCCGGGUCUUGUACACACCGCCCGUCACACCAUGAGAGCCGGAAACACCCGAAGUCCGUAGCCUAACCGCAAGGGGGGCGCGGCCGAAGGUGGGUUUGGUAAUUGGGGUGAAGUCGUAACAAGGUACC
Molecule: ribosomal RNA, 250 nt
Filed under: uncultured bacterium
Lineage: Bacteria
Description: partial 16S ribosomal RNA
Rfam family: Bacterial small subunit ribosomal RNA
Source: RNAcentral